RNAcentral lists this ribosomal RNA (405 nucleotides) under Herbaspirillum sp. COS207. Its description in RNAcentral is "bacterial SSU rRNA". It matches the Rfam family "Bacterial small subunit ribosomal RNA", at positions 989 to 1397 of the family's 1533-position model. Lineage: Bacteria; Pseudomonadati; Pseudomonadota; Betaproteobacteria; Burkholderiales; Oxalobacteraceae. The record is from RNAcentral.
GAUGAUGGAUCCGAAGAGAUUUGGGAGUGCUCGAAAGAGAACCAUCACACAGGUGCUGCAUGGCUGUCGUCAGCUCGUGUCGUGAGAUGUUGGGUUAAGUCCCGCAACGAGCGCAACCCUUGUCAUUAGUUGCUACGAAAGGGCACUCUAAUGAGACUGCCGGUGACAAACCGGAGGAAGGUGGGGAUGACGUCAAGUCCUCAUGGCCCUUAUGGGUAGGGCUUCACACGUCAUACAAUGGUACAUACAGAGGGCCGCCAACCCGCGAGGGGGAGCUAAUCCCAGAAAGUGUAUCGUAGUCCGGAUUGGAGUCUGCAACUCGACUCCAUGAAGUUGGAAUCGCUAGUAAUCGCGGAUCAGCAUGUCGCGGUGAAUACGUUCCCGGGUCUUGUACACACCGAACGA